This is a small nuclear RNA of Erinaceus europaeus (western European hedgehog), 98 nucleotides long. Lineage: Eukaryota; Metazoa; Chordata; Mammalia; Eulipotyphla; Erinaceidae. The record is from Ensembl.
CUGGUAGCACAUAUACUAAAAUUGGAAGGAUAGAGAGAAGAUUAGCAUGGCCCCUGUACAAGAAUGACAUGAAAAUUCGUGAACAGUUCCAUAUAUUU